CAAAGUCCCCCCGCUAACACUAGAAAGAAAGCGCGGAAGGAGUGAUUUGGGCGAAGCCCAUGGGGGUGCAGGGACAACGUCCCCCCAAAUGCAGGCGAAGCACAGGAGCGAAGCGAGGGUGCGAGUAGUUCAAGCGAAGCGCAGAAUACGAAAAAAAGACAGCAGCAGGAGGUAAUUAGGCGAAGCCCAAGGGGGGUGCAGGGGGGACAAAGUCCCCCCGCUAACACAAGAAAGAAAUUGUGGAAGGAGUGAUUUGGGCGAAGCCCAAUAGGGGUGUAGAGGGGACAACGUCCCCCCAAAUGCAAGCGAAGCACAGGAGCGAAGCGAGGGUGCGAGUAGUUCAAGAGCCCUCAAUGUUUCUAGCACAAAAAUUUGGCUCUUACGUAGCGGCAGACUGCUACGACUUUUUGUUUUACAUCCAGAUUAAUCUGAAAAUUGAAAUAAUGAAAAAAUGCAAAAAUAUGCACAUUCGUGAUAAUGAUAAGGUUUUGUUUCACUGCAACGCAAAGGAACGUAAAUAACUAUUUUACGCAGGUAUGUAAUACGUUCACAGUAUCACAGUUCACACAAAGCAAGCAAGAAUCGUUUUUCAAGACCAUGUUUAUCUCAGUUUAGCUGGAGAAUGCGAUUAGAUUGAAACGCAAGAGCUUGCAAAACCAGUAGGACUGGACUUCAACUCGUAUUCGCACAGAUAGUCCGUUUUAACGUGGAUGUUUAUGCCCAAUAUCUUUUUAUUUCACUCUCGCGAAUCUGCCUUUUCACUUCACAACAGUAAACCUACCUUUCACCCUUCAAUCUUCAUCCCUUAGGCUCCGUUCUAUACCUUCCCCUACCCUCCCUGCACUUGUCCCAUUCGUUUCACUAGCACAUUCUCAACCGUGAUCUUGCCUUUCUUUUUACUGGUUUUCAUUCAUUCUAGUUAAAUUCCUACUGGCGAGUCGCAAGUCUUUUGUCUGGUGCUCCUUCAAGAAUUUGAUAUCCUUCGUUGCAAUAUUGAAAUUCGAGAAGUAUCAUUUUCAUUACACCUACUCUGCUACAUAAAUGAGCCAGUCAAGCGCCUCCGUUAUAUUACCUACACAUGAGGGGAAAAAAACUUCAAUUCCGGAUUGGCAUUGUAUCACUAACGGCGAAUGGCGAAAAACGUCACAAUUGUGGACAAUCAAAGGCUUUAAAGAAUAUCACUGUAAAGUUAACAAACCGCUCAGAUCGUCAGAAUUCGUUAACCCUAAAAAUCCCGAAUAUAAAUGGUACUUGACUAUUGUGACUGACAACUCAAAUUUUGAGGUUGCAGAUUCUAUCGGAUUAUUUUUGAAUCUUGACAGAGACAAUACCUAUGACCAUGAUAUAUUCGUCAACAUGAGAAUGUGUAUACGAAAUGCUGCAGGAUAUGAAGUAUUUGUUCAACAAACCCAAGCGCAAUUCACAUUAAGCAAUAAUCAACAUGGAUUUCCGUAUUUUGUUUCGAAGGUGGUAUUAUUCCAUCCAUUUCCGAAGCACAAACUCCUCCUUGUUGAAGACACAGUAACAGUUUUCUGUGAAUUUGAGUAUACUGAAACGGGUGCCAAAGAUAAUCACUCACGGCAGGGGCCUGAAGUGAAAGUGACAGUUCCUGAUAAUCUAUCAACAGGAUUAGAACGUUUGUUGCGUGAUCAAACUUUUGUCGAUGUAACAUUUGUAGUGGAUGGCAAGAAAUUCGGUGCUCUCAAAGGUAUUUUAGCAGCUCGUAGUCCUGUUUUUGAGGCCAUGUUCAAACACAAUAUGCAAGAAAAUAAAUCAAACCAAGUUAACAUCUCAGACAUCCGUCCUGAAGUAUUUGAAGAAUUUUUACUCUUCAUGUAUACUGACAAAACUCCAAAUCGCGAAAUAGUGACAGAGUUAUUCGUAGUUGCUGACAAAUAUCAAGUCGAAGGUCUCCGGGUACUCUGCCAAGAAAUUAUAUUGAAGGAAUUAUCGGUAGAGAACGCGUUCGAUUUGUUAUUUUUUGCUGAUCUUCAUGGGGCUGAACGAUUGCUAACGAAGGUUGCAUUUUUUAUCAAAACAAACCCUGCCAAUCUUACAUCAACCCAGUCGUGGAAAAAUGCCAUUUUGACACGUCCUCAUUUGUUUGAUCUUGUACAUGGAGUAUGUGAUGUGGAACGCCCUGUUGUGUCAUCAGAGCUUCAAGUGACAUCUCCUUCUAACAAAAAGAUGAAAUUGGUAGAUACCUAAAAACCUACCAAUCUACCUUACCUAGGUAUACUGGUACCUCUACCUAUGUAGAAUCAUUCUGUAAUAAGCUUGGUUACUUUUUGUAAUCUAGAUAAGUGUGUUCUUACUUUAUAACAUUUUGAAAUACAAUUUGCUCAACUCGUA
Long non-coding RNA from Planococcus citri (citrus mealybug), 2352 nucleotides. RefSeq lists it as uncharacterized. Lineage: Eukaryota; Metazoa; Arthropoda; Insecta; Hemiptera; Pseudococcidae. The record is from RefSeq and is a predicted model, not a curated record. The transcript has 2 exons.